Molecule: long non-coding RNA, 438 nt
Organism: Nothoprocta perdicaria
Lineage: Eukaryota; Metazoa; Chordata; Aves; Tinamiformes; Tinamidae
Exons: 2
Source: RefSeq, a predicted model, not a curated record
AGAACUCCAGGCCCACCCAUCCUCUCAUUACAAUUCACUAAUCGGAGACCGUGGGAAGGAAGAAGUCUAUCUUCGGUGAGUCAUGUUUCAGCAAGAAAGCUCUCUGCAAGAGUUUGACAGAUGACGUCUUCUCUUGACCCUUCAUGAUGUUCUGCUGUCCCAGGGAAAGAAUUUCCAGUACAUCCUGUAAUAACACUGCCUCAACCAACCAGUGAACAGCUAUAUCAAGGGAAGGGGUGUGCUACCUAUAGAAAAGGUUAUUUUGCAAUGGUUUUGUGAUGAUGUAGUUAUACCUGUUCUAUGAAAUGCCUGUCUAGCUAUGAUUCUGGUAACUUGUUCUCAAGUUGGCAUGAUGGUAGAAGUAGCAUUAUUGGACAGACACUACUGCUGCUGGUUUUAACUCUGGGAGAACUUUAUCCAAAUUUCCUGUUCACUUCC